AAAAGUUUUUUCCACUUUUUCGUGGCUUUGAAAGAAAAGAUGUCGGAAGUAAUAAAUUAUCCCAUCGGUCCAAGAACGUUCGGUAGGUGUUAUACACCGAUCCGAGAGAGACAGCAAAUGGAAGGGAUAAAAUAAAGCUUCAAACAUGAUCACUUUUAAACCAAAAUUAUGAAGUAUUAUAAAUCGAGAAUUUUUUUUCUUUUUUGAAAUAUCAUAGUAAACACUUCAAAGAAUGUCCAUGACUUACUUUAAUGUAAAUUUUAUACCUAUGGUCGGCACAGUCAGACCUAAUAUGAGUGUGAUUUUGAGCAUAUUUGCGAUUUUAUUAGAGCAAAACAAGUCAUCUUUUCUCCAAUUUUAUAAGUUCCGGACACUAAUAGCAUAUCAAAGAUAUUGUAAAAAAAAAAUUGGGUUCAGAUUCCAACUAGUUGUCUAGUAUUUGUGAAACAAAAUCUACUGUAAAUUCACUGAAAACUAAACCGAUAACAUCACCUUAACGGUUUGUUACGAACAGAAGUCUUUUUUAGCAAAUCCGUCUGCUCUUGGCAAAUAUUAUCGAGGACAGGUUUAAUUGCCAUUUGAAUGAACAUGCAACACACAUUGUCAUGAUCAGAGCAAGGAAAAAUUGGAUUUCUCUUCACGUAAGGGUAAAUAGCGUGCAAAAUUGUUUGCAGGCGUUCUCACAUUUUAAGAAGGGUAACAUUUCUUGAGCUAUGUCCGCAAGUCUUUUAACAAGUCCCACGAAAACUUCAUUUGGAUAUACCAGACCUCAUCGAUCUUGAAGUAGAAUUAAUUUGAGAAGAGGUCCGGGAAUUGUGUUGGAAAGUAGUGGUUGAAGGCAUACAUCACAGUGAGUUCUAUCAUCUAUUUUUUUGAGUAUAUACCCCGCCAAGAAAGCCACUGAAGCAGAGUAAAUACUACUUUCCGGUAUAAUGUUUGAGCAUAAUGCAUGAAUUUUGACCUGUAGUUCAAAAGAGUCAGCACAUUUAACAAGCCCACAUCGCAAGAUCUGACGCAAAGCAUAUUCUGCGGUUCUCGCAUCUGUUGCAUCAUUUGAACCACCUCUGAGACGUACAUGAGAAAACAUUGCUUCCACUGCAUCUGAGCGAAUGAUCUGGUUAAUACAUAGUAAAAUCCCACUUGUUCAAGUAGAAAUUUGACACAGAGAUAAUCCGUGCAGGCCAGCCUUUAAAGAACUGUUUUGUACGUCAUCAAUGAAAUUUUGAAACGUUACAUUUAACCAGUGAAGUCGCUCGUCUGAAAUAUGUACAUAUGGUGCUACUGUACUAUCCAAUGAAUGUAUGUAGUGGGACGUACUUGAAACAUUAUGGAAUUGAAAAAAAUGGUACAUAUGUUUCAUGUACGAAAUGGUACUCUCAACAUUCAUGAAUCGUUCGUCCCCAGUGUCCUUUAAAAAUUUCAAAGAUGAGGUAACUGCUGGAGAAAAUAUCUGUAUAGCUCUCAGUACGUUCAUCUUCUCGAAACUGAAAAAAAAGGAUGGGGAAUUAAAUUUUGAAGAGAACCAUGGCAUAUUUUUUUUUAAAGGGCGGUAUUUGACGACAUGUUGUCAGUUACAAGCCUCAAAACGAUGAAUCCACAGUUCGUCAAAGUUCUUAAAACGUCCAUUGUUAAGGUAUAAAAAUCACUCGUUGUUAGCGAAGCAUGGAAGUAGUACCCUGCUGGUAUUGUGAAUUUUGUUGACAACCCAUGUAUAACGAAACAUAGCAUUUUAUUGGCUAACAUCAUCUAGUCCAUAGAUAUGAUCCUCUGAUCUGCUAUAUAUCAUUUUCUCCUUGAUUGACAUGUCGUCAACAAUGAGUGAACAGAUUCGCUCAAUGGGUGUUUUAAAGUAUGGCAAUUUCAGCACACAGACGUUGUUGAAUAAGGGCGUUUUGUCCUUGAUAUUCACCGAGAUACCGCGACAAGGUACUUUUGCUCGGAAGUUUAACCAGAUUAUUAUGGCAGAAUCGAUACCCUUUUGGUGAACAGAACCUCCAAACAGUACACAAUCGAAUGGACAUUUCAGACCACCUUGGAGUCUUUUUCGAAAAAUUUUUGAUAAUGUCGGUCAAAAAAAUAGCUCUGUCGUCUCCACUUUCGGCUUUGUUAAAUAUUUUGUUAACCAUUUGCACUUUGUUUUUAUUUUUAUUUUUUUCUU
Zophobas morio is the source of this 2158-nucleotide long non-coding RNA. RefSeq lists it as uncharacterized. The record is from RefSeq and is a predicted model, not a curated record. The transcript has 3 exons. Lineage: Eukaryota; Metazoa; Arthropoda; Insecta; Coleoptera; Tenebrionidae.